UUCUUCUUGAGUUUGUUUGGGAAGUAUGACCUGCCCACUGAUGUAAAAUUAAAGGGCCGCGGUAUUUUGACCGUGCAAAGGUAGCAUAAUCAUUAGUUUUUUAAUUGGAGGCUGGAAUGAAUGGUUGGACGAAAUAUAAACUGUCUUAAUUAUAUUGAUUUUGGAAUUUAACUUUUGGAUUAAAAGGUUCAAAUUUUUUCAUGGGACGAGAAGACCCUAUAGAGUUUAACGUUUAUAUUUUUAUAAAUGAGUUUUGAUUAGUUAAUUUAAUUAUGGAGUAUAUCGUUUUGUUGGGGUGAUGGCGAGAUAAGUAAAACUCUCGUUUAUUUAUUUAAUAAUAAUAUUUAUUAUUUAGAUCCGGUAUUAUUGAUUAUAAGAUAAAAUUACCUUAGGGAUAACAGCGUAAUUUUUUUGGAGAGUUCAAAUCGAUAGAGAGGAUUGCGA
This 444-nucleotide ribosomal RNA is filed under the name Eucorydia dasytoides. RNAcentral's name for it is "partial 16S ribosomal RNA". It matches the Rfam family "Bacterial large subunit ribosomal RNA", at positions 1830 to 2523 of the family's 2925-position model. Lineage: Eukaryota; Metazoa; Arthropoda; Insecta; Blattodea; Corydiidae. The record is from RNAcentral.